GAUGAAGAACGCAGCGAAAUGCGAUAAGUAAUGUGAAUUGUAGAAUUCCGUGAAUCAUCGAAUCUUUGAACGCACAUUGCGCCCCCUGGUAUUCCGGGGGGCAUGCCUGUCCGAGCGUCAUUGCAACCCUCAAGCGCGGCUUGUGUGUUGGGCUUCGUCCCCCCGUGGACGUGCCCGAAAGGCAGUGGCGGCGUCCCGAAUGGUGCCCGAGCGUAUGGGAACUCUCUUCCGCUCGAACCGGCCCAUUCGGCGCUGGUCGAACCCCAAUUUUUUUUUACCGGUUGACCUCGGAUCAGGUAGGGAUACCCGCUGAACUUAAGCAUAUCAAUAAGCGGAGGA
This 339-nucleotide unclassified non-coding RNA is filed under the name soil metagenome. Its description in RNAcentral is "partial contains 5.8S ribosomal RNA, internal transcribed spacer 2, and large subunit ribosomal RNA". The stretch from base 1 to 120 matches the Rfam family "5.8S ribosomal RNA", at positions 35 to 154 of the family's 154-position model. The record is from RNAcentral.